CACUGCAACACUAGCGUAAACGAAACGGGUGGUUUGCGUGAAAAGCCGGCCGGUUAAUUAACGAUUCCUGUGUUUGUGUUACAGUGAUUCAAAACCAUCGUUGAUUGCUUUGGAAAGGCUACUCGAGCAUGAGACGAGAGCAGAAGAAGACAUCAGUGGGUGACAAUUAAAAAGUGAGAAUUCACGCGAAAAAGCAAAGAAAAUUGCAGAGUUAUGUUAUACUGGAUGAAAGAAAUUAAGAAUCCGUGUCAAUAUUGAUCGAAGGUUCCGUUCAGAGAUUUCAUUAACAGAUGUGAAAAAAUGUAAUUGUUAAUAUUAGAUGUAAGAAC
This is a long non-coding RNA of Anopheles cruzii, 329 nucleotides long. RefSeq lists it as uncharacterized. NCBI's taxonomy places the organism in Eukaryota, Metazoa, Arthropoda, Insecta, Diptera, Culicidae. The record is from RefSeq and is a predicted model, not a curated record. The transcript is spliced from 3 exons.